This 425-nucleotide ribosomal RNA is filed under the name uncultured bacterium. RNAcentral describes it as "partial 16S ribosomal RNA". It matches the Rfam family "Bacterial small subunit ribosomal RNA", at positions 354 to 796 of the family's 1533-position model. The record is from RNAcentral.
GUGAGGAAUUUUGCGCAAUGGGGGCAACCCUGACGCAGCGACGCCGCGUGGAGGACGAAGUCUUUCGGGAUGUAAACUCCUGUCAGUGGGGACGAUAAUGACGGUACCCACAGAGGAAGCACCGGCUAACUCCGUGCCAGCAGCCGCGGUAAGACGGAGGGUGCAAGCGUCGUUCGGAAUUACUGGGCGUAAAGCGUAUGUAGGCGGCAAGUUAAGUUCAAUGUUAAAGCCCACGGCUCAACCGAGGAGAUGCAUUGAAUACUGGCUAGCUAGAGGGUGUUAGAGGAAGACGGAAUUCCCAGUGUAGCGGUGAAAUGCGUAGAUAUUGGGAGGAACAUCGGUAGCGAAAGCGGUCUUCUGGGACAUACCUGACGCUGAGGUACGAAAGCGUGGGGAGCAAACGGGAUUAGAAACCCGGGUAGUCC